UUGGGUUGGCCAUAUCACCCUGCAGCCCAAGACCAGUUACUCAUUGAAGCUAAGCUGGGCUGAGCCUGGUCAGUACCUGGAUGGGACACCACAUGGGAAAAUUAGGUUGCUGCUGGAA
Ribosomal RNA from Danio rerio (zebrafish), 118 nucleotides. NCBI's taxonomy places the organism in Eukaryota, Metazoa, Chordata, Actinopteri, Cypriniformes, Danionidae. The record is from Ensembl.